AGCUUUGCACAGUGGCAGUAUCGUAACCAAUGAGGUUUAUCCAAGGUGUGAUUAUUGCUAAUUGAAAACUUUUCCCAUAUGGAAUUUGAAGGGAUCUAGAAGAGCCAAAGAAAUCCUGAAAAAGAAGAAC
RNAcentral lists this small nuclear RNA (130 nucleotides) under Dasypus novemcinctus (nine-banded armadillo). RNAcentral describes it as "U4 spliceosomal RNA (ENSDNOG00000027958.1)". It matches the Rfam family "U4 spliceosomal RNA". From Rfam's summary of the family: U4 small nuclear RNA (U4 snRNA) is a component of the major U2-dependent spliceosome. The structure of U4 snRNA from yeast and human has been reported. The record is from RNAcentral. Lineage: Eukaryota; Metazoa; Chordata; Mammalia; Cingulata; Dasypodidae.